CAAAAAAUGAUAAAAUGACAUCAACGUUUCGGCUCACAUCUGGAGCCUUCUACAGGAUGUGAGCCGAAACGUUGAUGUCAUUUUAUCAUUUUUU
Pelobates cultripes (western spadefoot toad) is the source of this 94-nucleotide non-coding RNA. The record is from the annotation of a GenBank genome assembly. NCBI's taxonomy places the organism in Eukaryota, Metazoa, Chordata, Amphibia, Anura, Pelobatidae.